RNAcentral lists this ribosomal RNA (548 nucleotides) under uncultured bacterium. RNAcentral's name for it is "bacterial SSU rRNA". It matches the Rfam family "Bacterial small subunit ribosomal RNA", at positions 355 to 896 of the family's 1533-position model. The record is from RNAcentral.
UGGGGAAUCUUCCGCAAUGGACGAAAGUCUGACGGAGCAACGCCGCGUGAACGAAGAAGGUUUUCGGAUUGUAAAGUUCUGUGAUUCGGGACGAAAGGGUUUGUGGUGAAUAAUCAUAGACAUUGACGGUACCGAAAAAGCAAGCCACGGCUAACUACGUGCCAGCAGCCGCGGUAAUACGUAGGUGGCAAGCGUUGUCCGGAAUUAUUGGGCGUAAAGCGCGCGCAGGCGGUUUCUUAAGUCCAUCUUAAAAGCGUGGGGCUCAACCCCAUGAGGGGAUGGAAACUGGGAAGCUGGAGUAUCGGAGAGGAAAGUGGAAUUCCUAGUGUAGCGGUGAAAUGCGUAGAGAUUAGGAAGAACACCGGUGGCGAAGGCGACUUUCUAGACGAAAACUGAACCUACGGCAGAGUGGGGGAGCAAACAGGAUUAGAUACCCCUGGUAGUCCACGCCCGUAAACGAUGGAUACUAGGUGUAGGAGGUAUCGACCCCUCCUGUGCCGGAGUUAACGCAAUAAGUAUCCCGCCUGGGAAGUACGAUCGCAAGAUUA